This 176-nucleotide signal recognition particle RNA is filed under the name Triticum aestivum (bread wheat). RNAcentral's name for it is "SRP RNA Plant_SRP". It matches the Rfam family "Plant signal recognition particle RNA", at positions 83 to 259 of the family's 305-position model. Lineage: Eukaryota; Viridiplantae; Streptophyta; Magnoliopsida; Poales; Poaceae. The record is from Rfam by way of RNAcentral.
AGGUUGUGCUACUGCUGGCCCGCCCGUUCCAAGUUGUGUAGUGGACCGCUUGGGGCCUAUAUGAAAGCUGGGCCUCACGGUCCAUAAUGUGGCAGGCACAGCGUGAGGCUGGCUUCACAGAGCAGCGACAACUGCCUCCUUCCAACGGUGGAAGGAUAAUGGGCCGCUGCACUCCU